CGGACGGGUGAGUAACGCGUGGGUAACCUGCCCUGUACAGGGGGAUAACAAGUCAGAAAUGACUGCUAAUACCGCAUAAGACCACAGCACCGCAUGGUGCAGGGGUAAAAACUCCGGUGGUACAGGAUGGACCCGCGUCUGAUUAGCUGGUUGGUGAGGUAACGGCUCACCAAGGCGACGAUCAGUAGCCGGCUUGAGAGAGUGAACGGCCACAUUGGGACUGAGACACGGCCCAAACUCCUACGGGAGGCAGCAUG
RNAcentral lists this ribosomal RNA (257 nucleotides) under uncultured bacterium. Its description in RNAcentral is "partial 16S ribosomal RNA". It matches the Rfam family "Bacterial small subunit ribosomal RNA", at positions 99 to 353 of the family's 1533-position model. The record is from RNAcentral.